GGGCAGAGUCCACUGUCACACGUGGAGCUGCCCAGUCAUUCCCCACCCCUACAAAGUCUGGGCUGACUAAGGGGGUGCUUAGAAGGGAACGCCUGGGGGUUGGAGGUCUCUUAGCUGCAUAUUUCCCUGUUAUCAGUGUUGAAGUUAAAUACAGAGAUGAAUCCUUGAAAUUAAAAUGUUUUAUUUGGGGAAAGGAGUGUAAUUUGUGGGUAUCUGUAGCCUGGGUGGUUUAAGAUGUCCAAAAAAUGAAGAAAGGCUGGAGGUUUUAUAAAGAGAAGAAAUAUUACUACUGCUCUGUGAGGAAGCUCAUUGGCGCUGUUGCUGUUCUUCAUAUUCAGAAUCUGAAGUUAAUUUUUUACACUCAUCUACCUCUUUCUCAUCUGAAUCUGCCUCGUCAUCUGUUUGAAAUGGCUCAAGAACUGCCUUUAUCAACACCCACACUGACCAAACAGAAACUAGAAUUCUGGCAUCUUCUGUAUGGGCCUUUAAAAAAUCUCUGCCAAUUCUUUCCCAUUCAUCUAACUCCAUUGUCCCUUGUUCUGGGAACCAUGGAUAAAACUGCUCUAUUGUACGAAAGAGUGUUAAUAAAUUCUGAGUACUGACCUUCACUCUCCCUCUCCGUAAUAAAUGCCUUGGGAAAUUUAAAUAA
Molecule: non-coding RNA, 649 nt
Organism: Macaca mulatta (Rhesus monkey)
Lineage: Eukaryota; Metazoa; Chordata; Mammalia; Primates; Cercopithecidae
Source: RefSeq, a predicted model, not a curated record